UGCAUGGGGCGAGCGAAUGCCUCACGAGGCGUCAGGCCGGAAUUUCGCGUCCGAUAGCAACCUAAAGGACGUCGUAUCAUG
Regulatory RNA element from Sinorhizobium saheli, 81 nucleotides. It matches the Rfam family "chrB-a RNA". Lineage: Bacteria; Pseudomonadati; Pseudomonadota; Alphaproteobacteria; Hyphomicrobiales; Rhizobiaceae. The record is from Rfam.